AAACAGUGUGUAUAUAUAGCUUCUAUGCUUUUAAAAAUAUUAAGUUAUUGGUGAUUGUAGGUUUUCGGCCCUUCGAUUAAGAGAUGUGCGAUUAGGAUAACAAUGAUCCUCUAGGGUUGAGUAAGCGGUUGGUUGAAUAAUAUGAUUUAACAUAUAAAAAUAAUCAAAAUGCUAAAUCUAACAGCAAAAAAGUUACAAGCACUGAAUGCUUUGUGCUUUUAUAAGUACCAACUCUCUCUCUCUCUAUAUAUAUAAAUAUCUAUAUAUAC
This 269-nucleotide long non-coding RNA is filed under the name Ananas comosus (pineapple). RNAcentral describes it as "long non-coding RNA (ACOM_LNC008098)". The record is from RNAcentral. Lineage: Eukaryota; Viridiplantae; Streptophyta; Magnoliopsida; Poales; Bromeliaceae.